Molecule: small RNA, 81 nt
Filed under: Aurantiacibacter atlanticus
Lineage: Bacteria; Pseudomonadati; Pseudomonadota; Alphaproteobacteria; Sphingomonadales; Erythrobacteraceae
Description: Erythrobacter atlanticus Makes More Granules Regulator RNA (mmgR)
Rfam family: Makes More Granules Regulator RNA (mmgR)
About the family: SuhB later renamed mmgR (makes more granules regulator) was a putative non-coding RNA found multiple times in the Agrobacterium tumefaciens genome and related alpha-proteobacteria. Other non-coding RNAs uncovered in the same analysis include: speF, ybhL, metA, and serC. Several studies inSinorhizobium meliloti showed that suhB element is indeed a non-coding RNA:firstly it was detected on Northern blot and called Sm8RNA, secondly in an RNAseq study referred to as SmelC689.
Source: Rfam by way of RNAcentral
GAUAGAUGCACUUCGGUGCAUCUCCUCCCUGAACCUUGGCCGCCUCUUGCGUAAUGCGAGAGGCGGUUUUUUUUGGCCGCU